GCAUCAUUGGUCUAGUGGUAGAAUUCAUCGUUGCCAUUCAGCUGAUUAACUAAUCAGUCACGUGACUCGAUGAGGCCCGUGUUCGAUUCACGGAUGAUGCA
Non-coding RNA from Blastomyces silverae, 101 nucleotides. The record is from the annotation of a GenBank genome assembly. NCBI's taxonomy places the organism in Eukaryota, Fungi, Ascomycota, Eurotiomycetes, Onygenales, Ajellomycetaceae.